UUUCCCGGUUGAUCCCGCCGGAGAUCACUGCUAUUGGAAUCCGGUUAAGGCAUGCGAGUCGAGAGGGUACGGCCCUCGGCAUACGGCUCAGUAACACGUGGAUAAUCUGCCCUUUAGGUGGGGGAUAAUCUCGAGAAAUUGAGCAUAAUACCCCAUAGUUCUAGAUUGCUGGAAUGCUUCUAAAAUUAAAGCCCCGGCGCCUAAGGAUGAGUCUGCGGCCUAUCAGGUUGUAGUGAGUGUAACGGACUCACUAGCCGACGACGGGUACGGGUCCUGGAAGGGAGUGCCCGGAGAUGGACUCUGAGACACGAGUCCAGGCCCUACGGGGCGCAGCAGCUACGAAAACUUCACAAUGCGGGAAACCGUGAUGAGGGGAUUCCAAGUGCUAAUACUUUGUAUUAGCUGUUUACUUGUCUAAAAAACAGGUAGAGUAAGGGCUGGGUAAGACUGGUGCCAGCCGCCGCGGUAAUACCAGCAGCUCAAGUGGUGAUCGCUAUUAUUGGGCCUAAAGCGUCCGUAGCCGGUUUGGUAAACCCUUGGGUAAAUCGGGCAGCUCAACUGUCCGACUUCUGAGGAGACUGCCAGACUUGGGACCGGGAGAGGUCAGAGGUACUUCUAGGGUAGAGGUGAAAUUCUGUAAUCCUAGGAGGACCACCAGUGGCGAAGGCGUCUGACUAGAACGGGUCCGACGGUAAGGGACGAAACCCUGGGGCGCGAACCGGAUUAGAUACCCGGGUAGUCCAGGGCGUAAACGCUGCGGGCUUGGUGUUGGGGGUCCCACGAGGGCGUCCAGUGCCGGAGAGAAGUUGUUAAGCCCGCCGCCUGGGGAGUACGAUCGCAAGAUUGAAACUUAAAGGAAUUGGCGGGGGAGCACAGCAACGGGUGGAGCGUGCGGUUUAAUUGGAUUCAACGCCGGA
Molecule: ribosomal RNA, 917 nt
Filed under: uncultured archaeon
Lineage: Archaea
Description: bacterial SSU rRNA
Rfam family: Archaeal small subunit ribosomal RNA
Source: RNAcentral